RNAcentral lists this ribosomal RNA (273 nucleotides) under uncultured bacterium. Its description in RNAcentral is "partial 16S ribosomal RNA". It matches the Rfam family "Bacterial small subunit ribosomal RNA", at positions 523 to 796 of the family's 1533-position model. The record is from RNAcentral.
AUACGUAUGUCGCAAGCGUUAUCCGGAAUUAUUGGGCGUAAAGCGAGUCUAGGCGGCUUGUUAAGUCAGAUGAGAAAAUGCGGGGCUCAACUCCGUAUUGCGUUUGAAACUGGCAGGCUAGAGUACUGGAGAGGUGGGCGGAACUACAAGUGUAGAGGUGAAAUUCGUAGAUAUUUGUAGGAAUGCCGAUAGUGAAGACAGCUCACUGGACAGAUACUGACGCUAAAGCUCGAAAGCGUGGGGAGCGAACAGGAUUAGAAACCCUUGUAGUCC